Molecule: non-coding RNA, 1373 nt
Organism: Heterocephalus glaber (naked mole-rat)
Lineage: Eukaryota; Metazoa; Chordata; Mammalia; Rodentia; Bathyergidae
Source: RefSeq, a predicted model, not a curated record
UCCAAAGGCUUAUCUUGAACCUCUGGUCCAUUUCUCUUGAGCCACAGUCCAAUGCACUAGCUCUUAGUUGCUGCUGGAAAUACACUAAUUUUAAGGGAGAUUCAGAAAGAAUCCCAUGAGUAGCUUAACAUCCUACCUGGCAAUGAGCUAGAACCAAAGACCAUCUACAGAGGCCCUCAAACAGGACUUUAUAACUUGCCAGGGUAUGGAUUCCCUGUAUACUGUCCAGCCACACUGGUAUCAUCAAGUUAUGAAGAGGAUAAUUCCAGGAGAAGAGGAUCCAGGCAAGUCAUCCGUAUCAACAAAUCAUAUAACUAGUAUGGCUGAUCAAACGUUUAACUAUAGUGAUAAGUUCUUUUUCUCUCCCCUCUGAGUCAAAUAUUCAGUCACUUCAUUUCUCUAGAUCUCCUUGAAUUCAGGAGAGUUAAGAAACAGAUUGUAUGAGGAGAAAGGAAGAAAUAAGGAGGUUACUCAAAUUUGGAAAUACCUCUUUGGAAUAAGAAAAAGCAAAAAUGGUCAUGACUUCUUCCUUUCAAGCAAUAUGCUACCAUAUGUCUUGAGUUCUUGGAAUUUGGGGUCAUGGUUGGAACAAGGAAUAGGAUGGCUGGUCGGAUGCGUGAGUACCACAGAGAACUGGGGUUGUGGAGAAGUCCUGGAGCCUGGGAAGUCCCAAGUCAAGGCACUGGCAUCUGUGAAGCCCUUUUCCUGCAUCCUCCCUUGGCAGAAGGGCAAAGAAUGGACAAAAGAAAGCCAAAAGGGACCAAUUCAUUCUUUUAUAUGGAACUCAUUCCCACAACAAUGAAUGUACUCCAGUGAAAACAGCAUUAAUCCAUUGAUGAGGUCAAUGCCUCAUGACUCAACACCUCCCAUUAUGCUGCAGUGGAACUCAUGAUUCUCCUGCCUCAGUCUCCUGAUUAGCUGGCAUUAAUCCAGGUUUAUCCCCCCAUGCCUGCCAAUAGUGAUUAUUUAAAACAAAGAUUACCAUAUGUUACUUUCCUGAUUAAAAAUAUAUUGAUGCUUAUUUAUUGUAUUAGAGUAAAUCCUAAACUUUUCUCAUAUCAUCCAAAGUCCCUCACGGCCUCCUAUUUCUCCCACUGCACCUUGAUUCCUCAGAGAGCUGAUUCCUCCCCAUUUUUUGAGUCUCUGUUUAACUAUUUGUUUCUUUAAAAUGUAAAGAUCAGGAAGUUGACUUGUUUUAUUACUCUUAUUAUAGUACUUAUAAUCUCAUCACUUAACAUGAUGUGUGGCAUGUAGUAAGUGUUCAACAAACAUUUAUUGAAUGAAUAUCAAAAUUGUGGAAUAGAUUGCACGUAGAAUAAUAGUGAAAACCCCAAAUGAUAAUAUUAACAGGUAAUCAUUUAUGUCUAUCUCUU